Molecule: long non-coding RNA, 601 nt
Filed under: Mus pahari (shrew mouse)
Lineage: Eukaryota; Metazoa; Chordata; Mammalia; Rodentia; Muridae
Description: lncRNA (MGP_PahariEiJ_G0004499.1)
Source: RNAcentral
AGCCUUCUCUUCUGAGAUGUCCCCGGAGCCUUAGGGCAUUAACCACUGGGGCUGGGUACCCCACAGAAAACAAAAAAACAAAAAAAAACAAAAAAAACGUGGAUAACAGCCCAAGAUGGUAUUUUGAAGUAAGUAGACACCUGGAGAACACAGUCCUCCUGCUACCGGGACGAUGGAUAGACAUCUUCAAUCAAGACAUCCUAAGGACUCCUACGAGUUUAGAUGAAGGAGACUCUCCGGUUGUGUUUGUUUGGAAGGCGACCUCGGUAAGCCUGGAGCUAGAUGUCAACUGACGAGACGCUUCUGAGAGGGACUCAAAACUGCCGACCUUGGGAAUUUGCUCUAGAGGAGAGAAAUUCUUGGCCACUGAGAGAAUGCUGAGAAGACAGGGGAGUGAAAAGAACGUGUCAACAGAGUGAGCCAAGCCCAGGGGACAUGACAGAGUGCCACAAGAAACCAUUGCUCGGUAAAGGACACCUCAGAUGAGAGUGUACAAAAUAUGAUCAUCCCUCAUCACCAGGGGCAGCCCUAGGACCCUUGCCCAGGGUACCACAAUCUUAGGGUGCUCAAGUCCCUUCUAUAAACAGCAAAAUGAAUUAGG